Molecule: ribosomal RNA, 449 nt
Filed under: uncultured bacterium
Lineage: Bacteria
Description: bacterial SSU rRNA
Rfam family: Bacterial small subunit ribosomal RNA
Source: RNAcentral
AGUGGCGCACGGGUGCGUAACGCGUAUGCAAUCUACCUUUUACAGGGGGAUAGCCUUUAGAAAUGAAGAUUAAUAUCCCAUAGUAUAUUUAAGUGGCAUCACUUAAAUAUUAAAGUUUCGGCGGUAAAAGAUGAGCAUGCGUUCUAUUAGCUAGUAGGUGUGGUAACGGCACACCUAGGCAACGAUAGAUAGGGGCCCUGAGAGGGGGAUCCCCCACACUGGUACUGAGACACGGACCAGACUCCUACGGGAGGCAGCAGUGAGGAAUAUUGGACAAUGGAGGCAACUCUGAUCCAGCCAUGCCGCGUGCAGGAAGACUGCCCUAUGGGUUGUAAACUGCUUUUAUACAGGAAGAAACCUUUCCACGUGUGGAGAGCUGACGGUACUGUAAGAAUAAGGAUCGGCUAACUCCGUGCCAGCAGCCGCGGUAAUACGGAGGAUCCAAGCGU